This 1426-nucleotide ribosomal RNA is filed under the name uncultured Cylindrospermopsis sp. Its description in RNAcentral is "bacterial SSU rRNA". It matches the Rfam family "Bacterial small subunit ribosomal RNA". Lineage: Bacteria; Bacillati; Cyanobacteriota; Cyanophyceae; Nostocales; Aphanizomenonaceae. The record is from RNAcentral.
CGAACGGGAUGCUUAGGCAUCUAGUGGCGGACGGGUGAGUAACGCGUGAGAAUCUGGCUCCAGGUCGGGGAUAACAGUUGGAAACGACUGCUAAUACCGGAUGUGCCGAGAGGUGAAAGAUUUAUUGCCUGGAGAUGAGCUCGCGUCUGAUUAGCUAGUUGGUGGUGUAAGGGACCACCAAGGCGUCGAUCAGUAGCUGGUCUGAGAGGAUGAUCAGCCACACUGGGACUGAGACACGGCCCAGACUCCUACGGGAGGCAGCAGUGGGGAAUUUUCCGCAAUGGGCGAAAGCCUGACGGAGCAAUACCGCGUGAGGGAGGAAGGCUCUUGGGUCGUAAACCUCUUUUCUCAAGGAAGAAGAAAGUGACGGUACUUGAGGAAUAAGCAUCGGCUAACUCCGUGCCAGCAGCCGCGGUAAUACGGAGGAUGCAAGCGUUAUCCGGAAUGAUUGGGCGUAAAGGGUCUGCAGGUGGAACUGAAAGUCUGCUGUUAAAGAGUUUGGCUUAACCAAAUAAAAGCGGUGGAAACUACAGAACUAGAGUGUGGUAGGGGCAAAAGGAAUUCCUGGUGUAGCGGUGAAAUGCGUAGAUAUCAGGAAGAACACCGGUGGCGAAAGCGUUUUGCUAGACCAUAACUGACACUGAGGGACGAAAGCUAGGGGAGCGAAUGGGAUUAGAUACCCCAGUAGUCCUAGCCGUAAACGAUGGAUACUAGGCGUGGCUUGUAUCGACCCGAGCCGUGCCGGAGCUAACGCGUUAAGUAUCCCGCCUGGGGAGUACGCACGCAAGUGUGAAACUCAAAGGAAUUGACGGGGGCCCGCACAAGCGGUGGAGUAUGUGGUUUAAUUCGAUGCAACGCGAAGAACCUUACCAAGACUUGACAUCCUGCGAAUCCUGGUGAAAGCUGGGAGUGCCUUCGGGAGCGCAGAGACAGGUGGUGCAUGGCUGUCGUCAGCUCGUGUCGUGAGAUGUUGGGUUAAGUCCCGCAACGAGCGCAACCCUCGUUUUUAGUUGCCAGCAUUAAGUUGGGCACUCUAGAGAGACUGCCGGUGACAAACCGGAGGAAGGUGAGGAUGACGUCAAGUCAGCAUGCCCCUUACGUCUUGGGCUACACACGUACUACAAUGCUACGGACAGAGGGCAGCGAGCCAGGGAUGGCAAGCGAAUCCAGAAACCGUAGCUCAGUUCAGAUCGAAGGCUGCAACUCGCCUUCGUGAAGGAGGAAUCGCUAGUAAUUGCAGGUCAGCAUACUGCAGUGAAUUCGUUCCCGGGCCUUGUACACACCGCCCGUCACACCAUGGAAGUUGGUCACGCCCGAAGUCAUUACCCCAACCGAAAGGAGGGGGAUGCCUAAGGUAGGACUGGUGACUGGGGUGAAGUCGUAACAAGGUAGCCGUACCGGAAGGUGUGGCUGGAUCACCUCCUUU